GUUUUAUUGAUCGGAUGCACAGACAUAAGCACAAGCGCCCUCUCGUACACGUGUUUUUUGUUUUGACAAUGCCGCAUCAUCAUAUAAAAAUGGUUAAAAAUAAACGAAGAAUGAAAUGUGGCGUUCAUUGUAAAGAUUGGGAGAAACUUGCUCACAUGUGGGAUUAACUCUCUUUUUCAUUGAAAAGUGUCUAAAAAAGGGUCAGGAAAAGCCUUCAUGCACGUCUGAGCCUUGCAAGUGAAAGAAAACUUCUAAAAAUGUAAGAAAGAAACUAACUUUUGUUUUUAGACGGAAAUAUGGUUCAGAAUUUUUUAUGUUUGCUCCACUUACAUUGUAUAGAAAUGGUUGUAGGGUUCUUAACAAAAAUACUUGAAUAUUU
This is a non-coding RNA of Parasteatoda tepidariorum (common house spider), 379 nucleotides long. Lineage: Eukaryota; Metazoa; Arthropoda; Arachnida; Araneae; Theridiidae. The record is from RefSeq and is a predicted model, not a curated record.